Molecule: long non-coding RNA, 4336 nt
Organism: Gasterosteus aculeatus aculeatus (three-spined stickleback)
Lineage: Eukaryota; Metazoa; Chordata; Actinopteri; Perciformes; Gasterosteidae
Source: Ensembl
AGUUUUCCUCAACAGCCCCGUGUAGAUUCGGAUUCUGAUGAUUUCUGCUGCAGAAUAAUCGGAUCGUUCUUCACUUUGAAGUCAAAGAGGCAGAUCGUCGUGGUAAAGACUGCCGUUUAUGAAGUGCCUCAGGUACAAAUGAGAGGCAUUAGUUUGCAGGACCCUGGCGUGAAUAUCAACGGUUUGCUCCAUGGACAGUCGCUUCCCGUUGUCCCCCUUUGGGCGCAGAGUUCUCAUUGAAAGUAUCCCAGGUUUCUGCCCGUGUGCUUACUGGACAGAAUACGAGCACGAGGGGCUGAAACUACAAUGGAGCCUCUGACAUUAUAAGACUUUAGAAUUUAUAAACGCCUGCUAGGAUUUGAAGCGGCAUUUUCCUCCGAGGCGCCCGUGGCGGAUUGUUCGGCUGUGGGAUCUUUGAUUCGUCCAAAGUUUGACUGAGUUGAACCGUUUUUUCUACACAGCGGACUUAAGAGGAGUGACGGCUUUCAGUGUAACCGCCGUGAAGCUAUGAAGCCAGUCACAGAGCACCCUCUUCAAAGAUGUUCUUUAAAAAGACAUCUGAAGCACCUGAAUUUCUCGUUUUUUGGUGCGGAUUGUUUGCCUUUUCUUUUGUGUCUCUUCGCUGUAACUAUUCUUCAACAUCUUAAAAAUGUAUCAGUGAAAACUAAAUGAGAAAUCCAGAUGAGAAGCACCUUCAGGCCGUCUGGUUCUUUAUUCUGUAUUUCAAAGGCCCGCCGCUCUGAAUUAUACAGAGGUUCAUGUCUGCUUCCUGGCACAUUUGUAUAGACUGAACUCCGUAUUUUCCUCAGUGAUAAUCUGCUAACAUUCCUCUGAAAUAUGUGUGAAAAUAUUUGAAUGUGCAUCAUUUGCAACAAGUUUGUGUGCUUGCUAAACAAAGAACACAAAAUAGUUUCCCUUUCACGAUAAUUGUUUACUGGUUGGCUGAUUUAAUUAAAUUACAUUCAUUAAUUUGUAAUGUGGUUAAAAGCAGCACAUCAAUCAUCACAAGCAUUUUUAAAUUACUGCUGAUUAUCUCGUGCACGCCGCUGCUCACCUGUAAUGAUGAAGUAAGGAAGGUAAAAAGCAUUCGACCGAGAAGAGACUUCUCGUGCAGAUGGUUUGAGAAAGCGGCGGAUAAGCAGAGCAGCCGGGUGCUGCUUUGUGUGUGUGUGUGUGUGUGCGUGUGUGUGUGUGUGUCUGUGUGUGUGUGUGUGUGUGUGUGUGUGUGUGUGUGUGGGUGUGCGUGUGUGUAGGUGUGUGUGUGUGUGUGUGGCACGUGUGAUGGAGGGAAAGAUGGGGCGUGAACGGCGUGGAUGGAGCGGAUGGGGCGGAUGGGGCGGAUUGGGUGGAUGGGGCGGAUGGAGCGGAUGGGGCGGAUGGAGCGGAUUGGGCGGAUGGGGCGGAUGGAGCGGAUGGGGCGGAUGGGGCGGAUGGGGCGGAUUGGGUGGAUGGGGCGGAUGGGGCGGAUGGAGCGGAUUGGGCGGAUGGAGCGGAUGGGGCGGAUGGGGCGGAUGGGGCGGAUUGGGCGGAUGGAGCGGAUGGGGCGGAUGGGGCGGAUUGGGUGGAUGGGGCGGAUGGAGCGGAUGGGGCGGAUGGGGCGGAUGGGGCGGAUUGGGCGGAUUGGGUGGAUGGGGCGGAUGGAGCGGAUGGGGCGGAUGGAGCGGAUGGAGCGGAUGGAGCGGACGGAUAUUUUGUUUUAGACACAAAAUCCUCCCUCACGCGUGAUGAUUUGUGUUUAUUGAUCGGUUCAUCAAUAAGAGGUCCGCUGUGAGGUCCAUUGCUCGUUAACCACUAACGAGGUCAACUGAGAACUGAGUCGUUCAUAUCAGGCCACAACGAACAAAGACUUCCGACUGAUUGAGAAACACCCCCCAGAGGCUCCGCCCCCAGAGGCUCCGCCCCCAGAGGCUUCCCUCCAACCCUGAUACGAUUCAGGUGAUUUCUACAAAAACAAAUCUCGACACAGAGCGGACAUCAGCGCUUCUAAAGUGCAUCUAAAAACAUUUAUCCGUGAAGAGAACUAUAAUCAAACUUUUGAUUAGACAUUACGGUUUGUUUUGUGCGCUGCACAUGGAAACACAACUAAUUAGAUCUUUUAUGUGUGUUGUUACCAAAAAGUUACAUCUCAUCAAAAUGAGCUACUUCACACCAGUAAACAGCCGAAAAAUAAUCAGCACAUGUUCAUGGGACUGUGUGUUGCACGCAACAGCAAAAAUAUAAUUUUUUUUGACAAUUUGCAUAUUUUCAUGGCCUUCCACAGGCUGUUAAAAGGCAUAAAAGUGCACCCGCUCACAGGGACUCACACUCACACGUCGGGCUCCUCGUCUCCCAACAGCACGACUCCACACUGCAUCUUUCGCCAAACUUUCGCUCUUCACUCAUGGCUCCUUCUGCUUUCAUCACACGCUGUUUAGCAUUGGGAGGGAGGCAGGGAGGGAGGGAGGGAGGCAGGGAGGCAGAUGGGAUUCUAUGUAACAGUCAUGAGGUGGAUUUGAACAGACGACGCCGGGGACCUGAGCCCGCCACGCUGCACACGCACAACUUACAUUGCGAUCCCAACCAACCGCUUCUAUGAAUGCGAUGGCGAGCUCAAAGGCACGAGCAGAGUUGAUUAUUCUUAUUUUGGGGCGUGUGCGUGUAAUGGAAAAGGCACAUUUGCAUCCUGGAGUCCGCCGAGUGGCCGAGUCUCUCAAGCAUGAAAACAAUUGCAAGCUAGAAGCAAUUUUUUUUUUCUUUUUCGAUAUGUAUAAUUCCACAUUCUUAUUAUUCCUUGUGGUCUGGUAAUGGAGAUUGAAUAGAAAUAUGAGCCAGGCAAAGCUCCCCUGCACUCCCUCCCUCCAGUCCACUGGCAUUAAUUUAAUGCUUCAUCUAUCUAAUAUUAUAAUCCAAAAAGUGUCUCUGCUACUGUAACAUCAUCACCUCUGAGUCGUGGAGCGGAGACCCACAGGUAUAUACUAUUCCCACAGACUCCAACUCCAUCAGACUCCACACUUGUGUUUCAUUUGUGCAACUGCAAACUUUUGUGUGUGUGCGUGUGUGUGUGUGUGUGAACAGGAGCAGGCAGGUUCACCGUGUUGUGAAUGCUGCCCUCCUUCAGUCCCCGUGGACGUAACGGGGUGCAGUCUUAUGUGAACAACAGUGCGGACAAAGUGCACACGAAAACGUACAGCACUGUCCCUCGGGACGGGACUACACGAGAAUAAGUGUGUGUGAGUGUGUGUCCGCGUGGACGUCGGGAGGCCGAGGCUGAAAUAAGAGACACUGGAAAGGAGCCAAACCAGAGGACAAAUUGAGAGCUAGUUGAGUUGAAGCGGUAAACUAAUGCAGCGGGAAGCUAAACACGGAAAAUAAUAUGAGCCGCAAAUUAUCACCGAAGAUGAGCUUCGAGCCGGGAUGCAGCAUCCCGACUUUAAUAUGCAUUAGAUAACCUGAUUUUGACAUUUUAUUAAUAGGAAAGGUGUCUGCACAGGGUUACAGAUUUCUGUAUUUAAUCAGAGUUACAUUACUAUGGGGACUGUGUAUUAAAUAUCUUUUUAAGAAAGACACAAUAAUCACAUUUUUAUGCUAACGGCAUUUGAAUGUACGUAGGGUGUAGAGGGAAGCUGUUACCGCGGCCUGUGUGUAUCCUGCCGCUGGAUGCGUACGAGGCUGCGCUGUCCUUGAGGCAAUCAAUGCAUGACAUUGAUAUUCCUUUAGCAUGAGUAGAGAUGCCCGACAACUGAAGGCACACGCUGGCCUCAAGGGUAGCAAGAUAUACCUCUCUGCUAAUUUAAAUCAAUAACGCUUGACUUCAUGAGAAACAUAGAGAUCUAGAGAUUGUGAAAAACAAGAAAUCCCCAAAACAUUUAACUAUAUUCUAAACCACACGUAAAGAAAAACAAAUGUUGAAGCAAUUUAUCAAAAUUAGCAUGGCUCAUAUAAAAAUCACAGUCAACCCACAUGCACAUGCAGUUAAACAUCCUUGUACAGACAGCAAAAAUGUUGACACAAAAACACUGAGGAUGUGAUGUAGCAACCUUAUUAUUACUGAAUAUAUAUAUAUAUAUAUUUGUUAGGUCGAAAAAUAUUGAAAAGAACAUCAAAAUGAGUUAGCGUAAGUCAAGUCAUCGUGUUUGAAAAAAAAUGUAAAAAUAUGUCAGGUCAAAAAAUGUUUUGAAAAAUAGUCAAAAUAUGCUAGGUCAUAAAUAUGGGGAAAACGUCAAAUAUAUUUGAUAUAAAAAUAUCAGGUAGAGAAAUAUAAAAAUAAAUCUGAAAAAUAUUUGUUCAAAAAAUGUUUCCGAAAAAAUAUCAGUCGUGACAUAAAAAUAUUAGAAAAGAAAAUCAAAAAUUAUUAGGU